RNAcentral lists this ribosomal RNA (119 nucleotides) under Algoriphagus aestuariicola. RNAcentral describes it as "partial 16S ribosomal RNA". It matches the Rfam family "Bacterial small subunit ribosomal RNA", at positions 1 to 116 of the family's 1533-position model. The record is from RNAcentral. Lineage: Bacteria; Pseudomonadati; Bacteroidota; Cytophagia; Cytophagales; Cyclobacteriaceae.
ACAAUGGAGAGUUUGAUCCUGGCUCAGGAUGAACGCUAGCGGCAGGCCUAAUACAUGCAAGUCGAGCGGCAAGCCGAGGAGUAAUCUGAGGCCUAGAGCGGCGCACGGGUGCGUAACGC